AUCUAGUAUUCAUGAUUAUUGAGGAACAUAAUGAUAGAGAUCCAUGAGAAGAUAAUGUCAUUGAGGGACAUAAUAGAUCUUUCUCUAUGUAACAGCUCUGCUUCCUUACGUGAGAUUGUAUUGAAAACCUUGGAAGAUCUAUAAAAGAUUUAUCUGGCGAUCAUACCUAAAAAGGAAGUGGCAAAGAUUAAAGACAAGUCUACAGAUCAGGUCUUCUCAAUGCUCGAUACAAGUAGACUGUACCAUGCAGUAGCUACUUGUAAGUUGUUUAGAAACUGGGCUAAAUAUCCUUUCUGCUAUUCACAUAUUGAUUUGAGAACACCUGUUCCAAAGGUGAACGAUGCACUAGUCACCACUAUCAUACACCGAGCUGGAAAGGCACUAAGGUGCCCUUCGGCAUUCUCUACAGGAUAGACUAAGAAAAGGAUAAUCAGGUAGGAGCCGCGAUGAAAUAUAUCUAAAACUUCGAACCAGUACAGCACUGCCACUGAAAUUGAUUGACUUACCUGGAUUGGACUAGCGGAUUAUGGAUCACAAAGCAAUCAGUGGAUAUGUGGAGCACAAUGAUGCUAUAUUGCUGGCU
Non-coding RNA from Arachis ipaensis, 583 nucleotides. NCBI's taxonomy places the organism in Eukaryota, Viridiplantae, Streptophyta, Magnoliopsida, Fabales, Fabaceae. The record is from RefSeq and is a predicted model, not a curated record.